GUGCCAGCAGCCGCGGUAAUACCGGCAGCCCGAGUGAUGGCCGAUCUUAUUGGGCCUAAAGCGUCCGUAGCUGGCCGACCAAGUCUCCCGGGAAAUCCACCCGCCCAACGGGUGGGCGUCCGGUAGAAACUGGCCGGCUUGGAACCGGAAGGCUCAGAGAGUACGUCCGGGGUAGGAGUGAAAUCCUGUAAUCCCGUCCGGACCACCGAUGGCGAAAGCACUUCGAGAAAACGGAUCCGACAGUGAGGGACGAAAGCUAAGAUCGCGAACCGGAUUAGAUACCCUAGUAGUCC
This 293-nucleotide ribosomal RNA is filed under the name uncultured bacterium. RNAcentral's name for it is "partial 16S ribosomal RNA". It matches the Rfam family "Archaeal small subunit ribosomal RNA", at positions 455 to 747 of the family's 1478-position model. The record is from RNAcentral.